This is a long non-coding RNA of Daphnia pulicaria, 1415 nucleotides long. RefSeq lists it as uncharacterized. The record is from RefSeq and is a predicted model, not a curated record. The transcript has 3 exons. Lineage: Eukaryota; Metazoa; Arthropoda; Branchiopoda; Diplostraca; Daphniidae.
AGUUUAUUGUUGCACAGCAGCAAAAGAAAAUCCUGCUCCUGUGCAAAACUAUCACGACGUGAUCGUGAAAAAAUUUCUCUCCGUUGAUGAUGAUGAAACUGGAUUUAAAAUGCUUAUACCAACAGAUAAGCCGGAGGAGCCGUAUCUAAUAUAAACAAACUUUUGAAGACCAAUGAUCAAUUCUCUAUCAGCUUGACUUUGAACCUAAUAGAUUCGUAUCAGUCUGCUGCUUCCGAUGUUGACGCCAUGAUAAGAGCUGCCCUUUUAGCCAUUCUCAGCGAAGCUGGAUGCAACGCGAUACAUUGGCGAAAAACAGCAAAUCUAACUGGAUUGAAAAACAUGUCGCAUGUAUUGGCAGUGUUAAAAGUCGCAGUUGAUGCAUACUAAUUGAGGAAAGAAAAAAAUUAUAAAAGUGCAUUGAUGGCCAGUUUACAAACGGAUUUGUAACCCGAUUAUUUACACAGUUUAAAUAAGGGUUUAAAAACCAUUUUUAACACAGUUUAUUUCCCCAAAGCGGAGGUUUAUGAAUGGUUGUCUGAAACUGGCUUCUAGACCUCAAACGGCAUCCUCAAACCCGUUGUAAAUAGCCGUCCAAGUCGGAAGCCACGUUGUAGGGUAGCCAGUGAUGCUUUGGGAAAGACGUAAUCCGGCCUAAACAACUCAGGCUUAAGUCAACAAUUGGCUUUCGAUUUGUUUUCAACGCUCGAAAUAACAUGUCGAGCCCAUCUAUUUGAACGAUAACAACUACGUUCCCAAUACCAUCGAGUAAGACUCUCAAUGCACUUAAACUGUGGAUGGAAACAGUAGCAUUUGAGAAGUUACAUUGGUAGAUUAAUUCUUUAAUCUUAUUGAUGUUUUCAUUGCGAUUCAUUGUAAAAAAAAAUAAUUUCCAACACUUAAAUUCUUACGUGCUCUCGUCUAUGGCUAUGAUUUUAAAAACAAACAUUUGAGAUGUUGCAUUUUAAGUUGAAAUGAAUCAUCUCCAGUAAAUAUUUAUUUUUUCUUAUCACCAUGUAGCAUCUUUUAUUGUAUCUAUGUUGGAAUAUUUAUUAAUUUUUCUCUUUUUUUUAUUUUAUGAAAAUAUGGAGCUACUCGAGUUUCGUCCAGGGUCUCGACAUUCCCAUAGCCUUCUACAGUUACGGCCACGCAGCACAGAUUCACCCGGGUGUCAAUUUUGUUCGAGCCAUCCACCCACCCUCAGCUGCCUAUACCUAGGUCACAUGCGUUGCCAUUUUACGAAAGUCACAUUUUAAAUUCCUGUUUCCGCAAAAUUUUCAUUUUUCAUUUAUUUCAGCCAUGGCCACCACGUUAUAAUUAUAGUACAGUCAAUCUGUAAAAAAACGCAUCAAAUCUGAAACUGCGUGUUAAUUUCGAUUUUCUUAUACCAAAAUAAAGGUAAUUUUUAGGAGAAUCUG